CAGUCGCCGCGGUAAUACGUAGGUGGCAAGCGUUGUCCGGAAUUAUUGGGCGUAAAGCGCGCGCAGGUGGUUUAAUAAGUCUGAUGUGAAAGCCCACGGCCCAACCGGGGAGGGUCAUUGGAAACUGGGAAACUUGAGUGCAGAAGAGGAGAGUGGAAUUCCACGUGUAGCGGUGAAAUGCGUAGAGAUGUGGAGGAACACCAGUGGCGAAGGCAACUCUCUGGUCUGUAACUGACGCUGAGGAGCGAAAGCGUGGGGAGCGAACAGGAUUAGAUACCCCUGUAGUCCCUGUCUCUUAUAA
This 301-nucleotide ribosomal RNA is filed under the name uncultured bacterium. RNAcentral's name for it is "partial 16S ribosomal RNA". It matches the Rfam family "Bacterial small subunit ribosomal RNA", at positions 509 to 809 of the family's 1533-position model. The record is from RNAcentral.